GACGAACGCUGGCGGCGUGCUUAACACAUGCAAGUCGAACGGAAAGGCCCUGCUUUUGUGGGGUGCUCGAGUGGCGAACGGGUGAGUAACACGUGAGUAACCUGCCCUUGACUUUGGGAUAACUUCAGGAAACUGGGGCUAAUACCGGAUAGGAGCUCCUGCUGCAUGGUGGGGGUUGGAAAGUUUCGGCGGUUGGGGAUGGACUCGCGGCUUAUCAGCUUGUUGGUGGGGUAGUGGCUUACCAAGGCUUUGACGGGUAGCCGGCCUGAGAGGGUGACCGGCCACAUUGGGACUGAGAGACGGCCCAGACUCCUACGGGAGGCAGCGGUGGGGAAUAUUGCACAAUGGGCGGGAGCCUGAUGCAGCAACGCCGCGUGCGGGAUGACGGCCUUCGGGUUGUAAACCGCUUUCGCCUGUGACGAAGCGUGAGUGACGGUAAUGGGUAAAGAAGCACCGGCUAACUACGUG
Molecule: ribosomal RNA, 468 nt
Filed under: uncultured bacterium
Lineage: Bacteria
Description: partial 16S ribosomal RNA
Rfam family: Bacterial small subunit ribosomal RNA
Source: RNAcentral